CUAGGCCGAGGGCACGCCUGCCUGGGCGUCACAC
Molecule: ribosomal RNA, 34 nt
Filed under: Vauquelinia californica
Lineage: Eukaryota; Viridiplantae; Streptophyta; Magnoliopsida; Rosales; Rosaceae
Description: 5.8S ribosomal RNA
Source: RNAcentral